Molecule: long non-coding RNA, 224 nt
Filed under: Lathyrus oleraceus (garden pea)
Lineage: Eukaryota; Viridiplantae; Streptophyta; Magnoliopsida; Fabales; Fabaceae
Description: Pisum sativum (pea) long non-coding RNA (PSAT_LNC014270)
Source: RNAcentral
AAAUACAAUAUAAUAAUAAUAGUAUAAUAAAUAAAUACUAAAAUUGGAUUGUUAUACGUGUUCCAGAUGCGCCUUAGUCAACUGCGAUGUACCACUGGUAAUUAAAACAAAUGCUCAAGAUUAAAACGUGAGAGAAGGAUCCUAUGGUUCCAAAGCAGGAAAAGUCAUCAUCGGAGCCCGAGCUUCGGUCAUCUUUCCUGGUGAGCCUCACCGGACUGGUUAAC